CCUACGGGAGACAGCAGUGAGGAAUAUUGGUCAAUGGCCGGAAGGCUGAACCAGCCAUGCCGCGUGAAGGUCAGUGCCCUAUGGGCGUUAAACUUCUUUUGUGCGGGAGCAAUAAUGGUCACGUGUGGCCAGACGAGAGUACCGUACGAAUAAGCAUCGGCUAACUCCGUGCCAGCAGCCGCGGUAAUACGGGGGAUGCAAGCGUUAUCCGGAUUUAUUGGGUUUAAAGGGUGCGUAGGCUGUGAGGUAAGUCAGCGGUGAAAUGCCCCCGCUCAACGGGGUGAAGUGCCAUUGAUACUGCCUGGCUGGAAUGCGGAUGCCGUGGGAGGAAUGUGUGGUGUAGCGGUGAAAUGCAUAGAUAUCACACAGAACACCGAUUGCGAAGGCAUCUCACGAAUCCGCGAUUGACGCUGAUGCACGAAAGCGUGGGUAUCAAACAGGAGUAGAUACCCGUGUAGUC
RNAcentral lists this ribosomal RNA (460 nucleotides) under uncultured bacterium. Its description in RNAcentral is "partial 16S ribosomal RNA". It matches the Rfam family "Bacterial small subunit ribosomal RNA", at positions 338 to 795 of the family's 1533-position model. The record is from RNAcentral.